GACGAACGCUGGCGGCGUGCUUAACACAUGCAAGUCGAACGGAAAGGCCCAGCUUGCUGGGUGCUCGAGUGGCGAACGGGUGAGUAACACGUGGGUGAUCUGCCCCUAACUUCGGGAUAAGCUUGGGAAACUGGGUCUAAUACCGGAUAGGACAAUCGUUUAGUGUCGGUUGUGGAAAGUUUUUUCGGUUAGGGAUGAGCCCGCGGCCUAUCAGCUUGUUGGUGGGGUAAUGGCCUACCAAGGCGUCGACGGGUAGCCGGCCUGAGAGGGUGGACGGCCACAUUGGGACUGAGAUACGGCCCAGACUCCUACGGGAGGCAGCAGUGGGGAAUAUGGCACAAUGGGCGCAAGCCUGAUGCAGCGACGCCGCGUGGGGGAUGACGGCCUUCGGGUUGUAAACCUCUUUCGACAGGGACGAAGCUUGGUGACGGUACCUGUAUAAGAAGCACCGGCUAACUACGUG
RNAcentral lists this ribosomal RNA (463 nucleotides) under uncultured bacterium. RNAcentral describes it as "partial 16S ribosomal RNA". It matches the Rfam family "Bacterial small subunit ribosomal RNA", at positions 28 to 507 of the family's 1533-position model. The record is from RNAcentral.